UUGGAGGGCAAGUCUGGUGCCAGCAGCCGCGGUAGUUCCAGCUCCAAUAGCGUAUAUUAAAGUUGUUGCAGUUAAAAAGCUCGUAGUUGAAUUUCGGGGUUAGCAAGUUGGUCGUGCCAAUGGUAUGUACUGGCUCGCUGAUUCCUCCUUCUUGUAGAACCGUAAUGCCAUUAAUUUAGUGUUGCGGGGAAACAGGACUGUUACUUUGAAAAAAUUAGAGUGUUUAAAGCAGGCUAGCGCCUGAAUACAUUAGCAUGGAAUAAUGAAAUAGGACGUUCGAACCUAUUUUGUUGGUUUCUAGGAUUGACGUAAUGAUUAAUAGGGAUAGUUGGGGGCAUUAGUAUUCAAUUGUCAGAGGUGAAAUUCUUGGAUUUAUUGAAGACUGACUACUGCGAAAGCAUUUGCCAAGGAUGUUUUCAUUAAUCAAGAACGAAAGUUAGGGGAUCGAAGACGAUCAGAUACCGUCGUAGUCUUAACCAUAAACUAUGCCGACUAGGGAUCGGAUGAUGUUAAUUUUUUAAUGACUCAUUCGGCGCCUUACGGGAAAC
This 548-nucleotide ribosomal RNA is filed under the name uncultured Glomeromycotina. RNAcentral's name for it is "SSU rRNA". It matches the Rfam family "Eukaryotic small subunit ribosomal RNA", at positions 548 to 1098 of the family's 1831-position model. Lineage: Eukaryota; Fungi; Glomeromycota. The record is from RNAcentral.